Molecule: non-coding RNA, 136 nt
Organism: Triticum aestivum (bread wheat)
Lineage: Eukaryota; Viridiplantae; Streptophyta; Magnoliopsida; Poales; Poaceae
Source: Rfam
AUUCUACUCCCUCCGUUGCACAAUACAUGCCUUCUAUUUGUCAAAAUAUAUAUGUAUCUAGACAUGUCUUAGUAUAUAGGCACAUCCAUUUUUGGACAAAUGGAAGUCAAGUAUUUUGGAACGGAGGGAGUACACA